AGACAGGUGCUGCAUGGCUGUCGUCAGCUCGUGUUGUGAAAUGUUGGGUUAAGUCCCGCAACGAGCGCAACCCUUAUCCUUGUUUGCCAGCGAGUCAUGUCGGGAACUCCAGGGAGACUGCCGGUGAUAAACCGGAGGAAGGUGGGGACGACGUCAAGUCAUCAUGGCCCUUACGAGUAGGGCUACACACGUGCUACAAUGGCGCAUACAGAGGGCAGCAAGCUAGCGAUAGUGAGCGAAUCCCAAAAAGUGCGUCGUAGUCCGGAUUGGAGUCUGCAACUCGACUCCAUGAAGUCGGAAUCGCUAGUAAUCGUAGAUCAGAAUGCUACGGUGAAUACGUUCCCGGGCCUUGUACACACCGCCCGUCACACCAUGGGAGUGGGCUGCAAAAGAAGUGGGUAGUUUAACCUUUCGAGGAGGACGCUCACCACUUUGUGGUUCAUGACUGGGGUGAAGUCGUAACAAGGUAGCGCUAGGGGAACCUGGCGCUGGAUCACCUCCUUAUACGAAGAU
RNAcentral lists this ribosomal RNA (513 nucleotides) under Vibrio ordalii 12B09. RNAcentral describes it as "bacterial SSU rRNA". It matches the Rfam family "Bacterial small subunit ribosomal RNA", at positions 1032 to 1533 of the family's 1533-position model. The record is from RNAcentral. Lineage: Bacteria; Pseudomonadati; Pseudomonadota; Gammaproteobacteria; Vibrionales; Vibrionaceae.